AGUAUCUAAAAGGAACAAAUCCUAAGGGCUUGCAACUUGUGCAGAUGUGGCAUAUUUUGAUUCAAACCAAACCCUAUUGGCGGUGGUAGAAUGCCAGUAGCAAUCAGCAGGCGAAGUUCCUCUUGCCAGCGAAGUGCAAAAUAAAGUUUGGUUAUGGCAUUUUUCCCCAGGUACCACGGUCGCUAUAAGUAGAGGAAACAGCAGUAGUGCUUGGUUGGAUAUACAUUUCCAACAUAAAUGCGUAUGUUGAAAUAGCUCAGUUGGUUAGAGCAUGGUGCCAAUAACGCCAAGGUUGCAGGUUCAAUCCCUAUAAGGGACAGUCGCAUAUUCCUGAAUUGCAGGGGGUUAGACUGUAAAACCCUCAGUGUAUGGUUGAAAAUAGUCGUGUAAGUGAAGCAGAGCUGUGUAGUCCUACAAACUUUCAGGCACCUAAGCACUUCGCCAGCAGAGGGUGUUAGUGAGCUGUACAGCAAUUGAGCACAAGUGCUGCCAAUGUUCUGUCACUACAAUAACGCAACAUUUUCUGAUUUAAUCAGAAGUUCAGCGAUUUGAACACCGCCUUCAAGCUGAAAAGUUUGGAUCUCUUGCACCGCAGCCUGCCGCCCUUUCCUUAUUUAAAUGAAACCGGCACAGUGGGAAGAGCGCAAAACAUUCGUUUGUGAAAUUAAUGCAAACUUUCUCGCGCUAUUUUGGAAGGGGAUUCUGCAUUUAUUUGUUUGCAGGUCUUGGCAUUGUUUCCCAUCCUCUCCAGGUGUUGCAUAAGCCCUUCAUCCUGUGCCCAGUCCCUGAUGCUGCCCGGCCACGAAAGGGCAAGCGCACCCUCUUCUGCCAGAUGCUAAGCAGAUCUGGGAUUUUCCAAGGAGCUUCAGAUAAAGGAGUAGCAGGGCUGCGACCUCUAGGAGUACAACUGCGGGAAGAUUUAAAGGGUAUAAAUGGUUACUAUGUUCCACUUACUGUCUGAGACAGUAAUGCUGAAUGCCAGUUGCUGGAAGAGGGGAAAGUGCUACUCUUGUGCUCAGGUCCUGCUUGUGGAUUUCCUGCAGGGAUCUGGUUGGCCAAAGCAAGAAUAGGAUGCUGGACUGAUCUAGCAGGCUUUUAACGUUCUUAAUCUGGCAAAACCACAACUUGGAGGCUUUCCUUGCGGUGGUCACAGCAAAGAGAUCCUGCACCGCAGAGGGUUGGACUAGAGGACCCUUGUGGGUCCCUUUCAACUCUAUGAAUCUAUUAUCGUGCUUUGCUGCUGGUGUUGCAUUAUCCCAGAGCCUUUUUUAGGUGAGUGUGGGGUUGUCGUUUUUAAAGCCCAGUCCCCAAAUUGAAGAAUGAUCUGUAGGCUGCUGGGAUUUGCUUGUAAAACACAUCACAUAUUGCUUGCAUUUGCAAUUCUGGGCCCAGGGUUCUCCGGCAAGAGGAAAUAACUAUUAAAGCAGUUUGAGUUUGUCUCUUCCCAUCCCCACCACCCCUGACACUGAAUAAUGUAGCAUGAUCCCUGAAAUGAGCUGUCAUAAAAGAUCCAGGUGUUGGGAGAUGGUGCCGUGCAAUGAUUUUCUCACUUUCCCAAAGACAAUUUCAAGGCAGAGAGUGCCUAAAUCUCAUCUGAAAUUCUGAGCAGGAAAUGCUGCCUGCCACUAAGUGUAAAGGGGAGGUGGGGCGGGGAAUCAAAAGAAGAAACAUGUUGGAUCUUCUCUCUUCUUCCUCCUCCACCCGCUACCCCCAUCCUUUAACUUUGGAAAACUUGCUUAUUCAGCAGACAUGUCAAGUGCUGCUGGCCUUAGUAAUGAGUCUGGCUCCUACCUAUAUACUGCACCAUUGCUUUUUAUAUUCUUAAUGUUCAGUUCUUUAAUCUGCAUAAUCUCUGGGGUGGGGGCUUGGUGCAUUUUGCACUUACGCUUGAUUUAUGCCAGUACACGGGAGAAAAAGAGGGAGGGGGGAAGAGGUCUUUCUCUAGUGCACAGACUGAAUAAAAGAGAUCUCUCCCUCUCUCUGUCGUGUGUGCAUGUGUGUGCAUGCGUGCGUGCACACGCAUGUAUGUAUGUUAUUUUCCCACUCUAAGUAGAAAAGACUUCUGCUCCUUUUCUGGCUUUUUUUUCUGUCCCGCUUCUUCCAAAUCGAAUUUACCCAUAGGCCUAAAGCUGUCCUUUUGGUUAUCAAAUUCAGUAUAGCACUUGUAAGGGGACCCCCUUGUAAGAUGCAUGCUCUGUCACUGUGUGUGUGUGUGUGUGUGUGUGAGAGAGAGAGAGAGAGAGAGAGAGAGAGAGAGAGAUUUGACUGUCACAUAUUAAUGAGAAGAUUCCAGUAGUGAUGGGAGUUGUAACAAAUUGUGCACACACAUCUAUUAGGUUCUUCGGUGCUCCAAGAUUUUGUCUUGAGUCAUUUAGUUCAAUCUUCAGCAUCGAGCGUGCUAACUGGAACUGUUUUAAUAGAUUAUAAAACGAAUAGGUUAAGAACGAGGUGACGGAUUGCUCUCAACCAAUUCAUCACCGAAGCUACUGAGACGCUUACAGUUAACAUAACUUUAAUCCGCUGACAGUUCUUGUAGCACUUUAAUUUUCAUUAAGUCUACUGGCUCCCAGCCAGGGAACUCGUUUCAUUACACCUGAGGGCUUAUAUAUUAGUUGGCCUUCUUUUGUUUGCCCCUCAUGGUUCAUCACAAGCUGCUUUCUGAAAGUUUUAAAAGUAGUUUCCCAUGCAUAAGGUUAAAGCAGAGAGCGAAAAUACCAAAAACAAUGCCCUGUUUUUUAUUUGGUCAGAACUAAUAAUGAUGCAGAAUCAUAUUAUCUGCUUCCAAAAACAACCACCAUGCACCUCCUUCAUAGAAUCAUAGAACUGCAGAGUUGAAAGGGACCACGAGGAUCAUCUAGUCCAACCCUCUGCAGUGAAGGAAUACUUUGACCCAACAUGGGACUCGAACCCACAACCUAGAGAUUAAGAGUCUCAUGCUCUACCAACUGAGCUAUCCUUACCCUCCCCAUAACAUUGCAGGUGGAGAUCUUUUCAUUGUUUGUCUGUUUGACAUCUUAUGGGAGGGCAUUCCUCAGGGCAGGAGCCACCACCAAAAAGGCCCUCUGCUUUGUUCCCUGUAACCUCACAUCUCACAGUGAGGGAAUCGCCAGAAGGCUCUCGGAGCUGGACCUCAGUUUCCGGGUUGAACAAUGGGUGUAAAGCCGCUCCUUCAGGUAUACAAGGCCGAGGCCGUUUAGGGCUUUAAAGGCCAGCACCAACACUUUGAAUUGUGCCCAGAAACGUACUGGGAGCCCAUGUAGAUCAUUUAGGACCGGUGUGAUGUGGUCCUGGCAGCCGGGAAGUUGCCAAACUUCAUUCCUUCCGGAUCCCGGGCUACCAGAUUAGAUGUUGUCUAAGGUUAAUGGCCAGAUGCAUGUCAGCUGCUUGGCAGAAUUCCAGCUGAGAGCCAAAUGAGUGGCGACCCAGGCAAGCAAGUAUUAAUAUAAACAUGGCAGAGGCCUAGCCGUCAGCAAGCCAUUAAAAACUUCCCACGAUGCUGCGAAGGGAUGCCGCCUUCCUUAGAGACCCGUCCAGAAUUGUACGUAUGUAGCUUGAAUAUCUUGUGUGGUUCGAGUCUGAGCUGCCACCUGCUAAUUCAAUGCUGGGGCCAAGCCUCUCACCCCCCACCCCCUUGCUCUAGUGGCGCCAGAGCCGUGUGGUCCCUGGAAUUUGAUUAUUUGUGUUAGCAGAUAAUUUAGGCCAGAAGGCUUAGAGUGCUCUCUCAGUCCGUUAGAUGUCGUCAUGCUUCCCAGCAAACGAGGCCUUCCCCACCAACCCACCGCAAAAUACCCCCCCCCAUAUUUUUUUAAAGCCUUUUAAAAAGAAAAGCUGCACCUAGGCUCCUUUCAACCGGUUAAAGCCAAUUUUGCACAAAGUUCAACUUUAAUUUUAAUUUUAAUUUUUUUUAAAGGAGGAUAUGAUCAAACCUAAUGCGGUGUGGGGGCUUUUCUCUCUCUCCCCCCCCUUUCCUGUUUUUGUUGCUUAAGCAGAUUUUAUGGGCUUCAGCAAAAAGUUGUCGUAAAAACGAGAUCUGUGCUGGCGGUGUUGCGUGUGAUGGAAAAGAGCAGGCAAGGAACACAUGGUGGGUGUUUGGGAAUAACAUAUUUUCUCUCUCUUCAGAUAAUGAUGUCAAAUUAAAGUGUAAUUAAGAUGAAAAGAUAACGAGAAAGAAGCAGCAGUUUGGACUUUUUUGGUGUUGUUCGGGUUCCUGUUUUCCAUAUCACAAAUUCAGUCAUUCGGGGUCAAAAUUUAUUUAGUUUGAUAUGUGUUUGUUUAUGUGAGGGUCUUUCCUAAUCGAUGGACUCCUCACUUUCCUUUGCCUUAAUCCUGAACCAAUUUACUUUUGGGCAUGGUUGGAUAGCUGCAGGUUCGAUCCCCGGAGGUGACAGCCACAUAUUCCUUCAUUGCAGGGGGCUGGAUGUUCCUCAGGGUCCCUUCCAAUUCUACAAUUCUAUAACCCACUGGGUUAUAGCCAACUAUGUUGUACUCAGAGUAGAUCCAUUGAAAUAAACGAACAUGAGUUCUUGCUGUUGUGUGUCCUGUCUUUCCUCCUGAAGCAGCCCAGGGUGGGAAACACAUUAACAAUUCCAAAAACCAUUAGAGACAAUAUGAAAACAGUGAUUUCAGGAUUGCAAUAAACAGUGUCCUUCAGCUACCAAAUGCCUGGGUAAACAGGAAAGUUUUUAAAUUUCUCCUGAAAGUUUGUAAUGGAGGAGAAAGAUUCACCUUACCAGAGACGGCCUGCCACCAAAAAACCCCUGUCAACUGACAGCCCCUAAUGGAGGCACUAACAAGGCCUCACUUAACAAGGGUCCAAGAUGAGCCGUGCCCAUUAACUUCUGUGGGUCUACUCUGAGUAGGACUGGCAUUUAUCUCCUUGACUUCUGAUGGGAGGGCGUUCCCAUCGUCUGCCUCAAAAGUAAACUACUGGCACAUUCAUCUCCAGCUGAAUGUUGCCACCCCAUAUGAACCAGGGAUGGGGCACCUCAGGCCUGGGGGCCAAACAAACCCUUCAGGCAUCUCUAUUUGGCCCCUGGAACUCUCUACAGGCCACACCCCUCUGCACCCUCCCCAAGUGUUUUUACCAGGCCGGAAUGUGUCCCCAAAUUGUCCCUGCCGGUCAGGGUGAAGGUUAGAGACAUUUGUAGCUCCGCCUAGUUUUGCCUCUGGCCCCGCCCACCUGGGAGGUGGCUCUCAGAAGGUUGCAUAUAAAGGAAUGUGGCCCCUGGACUGACAAAGGCUCCCUUACCCCUAAUGCAAACUCUGCAGAGAGGAACAGCACCAAGGACCCACAAUAGGCUGUUCUUCCCACACACCCUUUUGAAAAGGCUUCACCUGACUGUUGCUACUAUUACUCUGUGUGUGGUGGGGUACUGAAUGGGUCAUUUUAAUUAAUGAAAUCUGCUUCCCUUAGGUAGGCGUCCCUUCAAUUAGUUUUGCUAUUAAGUGGUCUCCGUUUUUAUGAUUCCCUUCUUGGGGAUAGGAUAUAAUUUUGCAUGUUGCUAUGGGAUUUUUUUUUUUAGUUUGUUUACAUAGUCUGUGCUUGAUCUGCAGAUUGAAUCCAUCAGGUUGAUAGCCCUGUGACAUUUUUACACGGGUGAACAUUUCCUGUUAAACCAUAAAUACUUGGAGGGGGGAGGAGGGGGGGUCUAGAGAAAAGGGAAUUCUUAAGACGCAUUACUACUAAGGUUGUAGUUCACUCCGUUGAAAUACCAACAUUGAAACAAUGAUCUCUGUUUACAGAGCCAAAAAAACAAAACUACCAUCAAAACGCUAUUUGAAAAAUGUGCGCUCCAGUGCUCUUUCUGAAAUGAAGUAAAUAAUAUAAAAUUCCUUCCUGUCUGUUGCGGGAUUAUAAAGUGGAGCCAUACUUUAUGAACUGAAGUGCUAGCAAAUGAAGGCUUUACUUAAAUCUUUUUUGUAUACAGAAAGGUUUGUGUUUGUAUGCUAGGCUUUCAUUAGCUCACUUUGCUUUCUGCCGUGUUCAUCAUUUGCCCUUACAAAUAUUUUCUUUCUUUUCCUUUAAUGUUAUGGUUGCGAUACUGCAAUAAAAGCGAAUGGAGUC
Non-coding RNA from Podarcis lilfordi (Lilford's wall lizard), 6064 nucleotides. The record is from the annotation of a GenBank genome assembly. NCBI's taxonomy places the organism in Eukaryota, Metazoa, Chordata, Lepidosauria, Squamata, Lacertidae.